GGAAGAGAAAGGGCUCGGACUUACAUGACAAUGAGGGCAGAAUUUCGGGAGUUCUCCUGCAGGAUUUCGUGCAGCCGGAUCUGCUGCUCAGACUGGAGGGACAAAGCAGGGGUCAUGAAGGGGCUGGCAUGAUCUGGAGAUCUUCAUCCGACACUUUCCAGGGUGCCUCCUUCUUCAGGGCUUCCACCGCCUCAGGGUCCCGCUGACCCUCGUUCAGCCGGUACGGUGCUAGCAGGUCCUCAAACUCCUUCUGGCUGCCAGACAAAGCGGAGGGUGCUGGGACAGCUCUGUCUUCACCAAGACCCAUGGGAUGGAGCCGGGGGGGUCCCGACUACAGUAGGGCAAUGUCAGGCAGCACGACCACCUCGUUGAAGCCCAAGCGAAACUUGGCGAGGAGGAGCUGGAUCCUGCCGUGGAGAUGGAGUGAAAUCAGGCAGAGAGAGAGAGAGAGAGAGAGGCCAAACUGGGGCCAGCGGGGG
Alligator sinensis (Chinese alligator) is the source of this 479-nucleotide long non-coding RNA. RefSeq lists it as uncharacterized. The record is from RefSeq and is a predicted model, not a curated record. NCBI's taxonomy places the organism in Eukaryota, Metazoa, Chordata, Crocodylia, Alligatoridae. The transcript has 3 exons.